UUAAAGUUGUUGUGGUUAAAAAGCUCGUAGUUGAACCUUGGGCCUGGCUGGCCGGUCCGCCUCACCGCGUGUACUGGUCCGGCCGGGCCUUUCCCUCUGUGGAACCCCAUGCCCUUCACUGGGCGUGGCGGGGAAACAGGACUUUUACUGUGAAAAAAUUAGAGUGCUCCAGGCAGGCCUAUGCUCGAAUACAUUAGCAUGGAAUAAUA
Molecule: ribosomal RNA, 209 nt
Filed under: uncultured fungus
Lineage: Eukaryota; Fungi
Description: partial 18S ribosomal RNA
Rfam family: Eukaryotic small subunit ribosomal RNA
Source: RNAcentral